RNAcentral lists this ribosomal RNA (253 nucleotides) under uncultured bacterium. Its description in RNAcentral is "partial 16S ribosomal RNA". It matches the Rfam family "Bacterial small subunit ribosomal RNA", at positions 524 to 776 of the family's 1533-position model. The record is from RNAcentral.
UACGGAGGGGGCUAGCGUUGUUCGGAAUUACUGGGCGUAAAGCGCACGUAGGCGGACUGUUAAGUCAGGGGUGAAAUCCUGGAGCUCAACUCCAGAACUGCCUUUGAUACUGAGGAUCUCGAGUCCGGGAGAGGUGAGUGGAACUCCGAGUGUAGAGGUGAAAUUCGUAGAUAUUCGGAAGAACACCAGUGGCGAAGGCGGCUCACUGGCCCGGUACUGACGCUGAGGUGCGAAAGCGUGGGGAGCAAACAGG